GGAUCCUUAGUACGGCGAGUGAACCGGGAAAAGCUCAAAUUUGUAAUCUGGCUGUCUUCGAUAGUCCGAGUUGUAAUCUAUAGACGUGUUUUCCGUGCUGGACCGUAUCUAAGUCCCUUGGAACAGGGUAUCAAAGAGGGUGACAAUCCCGUGCUUGAUACGACCACCAGUGCUCUGUGAUACACGCUCUACGAGUCGAGUUGUUUGGGAAUGCAGCUCAAAAUGGGUGGUAAAUUCCAUCUAAAGCUAAAUAUUGGCGAGAGACCGAUAGCGAACAAGUACCGUGAGGGAAAGAUGAAAAGCACUUUGGAAAGAGAGUUAAACAGUACGUGAAAUUGUUGAAAGGGAAACGAUUGAAGUCAGUCGUGUUCUUUGGAUUCAGCUAGUUCUUCUAGUCUACUUCCUUUGAACGGGUCAACAUCAGUUUUGUCCGGUGGAUAAAGAUAGUAGGAAUGUAGCUCCCUCGGGAGUGUUAUAGACUAUUAUUGCAUGCACUGGGUGAGACUGAGGACUGCAGCUCGCCUUUUGGCCGGCCUUCGGGUACGUUCGAGCUUAGGAUGUUGACAUAAUGGCUUUAAACGACCCGUCUGA
RNAcentral lists this ribosomal RNA (591 nucleotides) under Cutaneotrichosporon moniliiforme. RNAcentral's name for it is "eukaryotic LSU rRNA". It matches the Rfam family "Eukaryotic large subunit ribosomal RNA", at positions 72 to 656 of the family's 3401-position model. The record is from RNAcentral. Lineage: Eukaryota; Fungi; Basidiomycota; Tremellomycetes; Trichosporonales; Trichosporonaceae.